UCCUGCAGACCAUAAAGAGCAAAGCUGCUGUCCUUCAGUAUGGUCCCUAAAAGGUGUCUCGGGCUGAGAUGUAUCAUAGGAGGUUGUUUAUACUGGGAAAGUGUUCUGAUCAAACAGUGCUUGUGACAAUUCCUUCUGCCCUCACAUGCAAUACCUUCUACAGGGACUGGGACAGAUACAGGCAGCGGAGCAGGAGAAUAUGAAGGCACUGGCAUCUCUGAAGGACUCCUUGCUGCAUAUACUCCAACAUGAUUGAAAUAAGACGCUGGACUUACGGCCAUAAAGCAGGCUUUAUUUCAGCUCAAACAGAGCUCCGCAGUUGUAGCCCUUCUCACAACUCCCUGCUGUCGUCUGUGUACUUCUUCAAUCUUUCUCUUAUGUGAGCCCAGACUGGCCACAAGGGGUGGCCUGAAAGGGAUGGUCCUUAGCAAUUCCUUGAAAUACCAGGACUGGAGAGGUAGCAGCACAUUAUGCUUGAGCCCCAAGUGCUUCAGGGAGCAUUUUGGAUACCUGUAUGUGUCCUUGGUAACUACUCUCAUUCUUACGUUUCUUUGUCUUUAUUUAAUCAAUUUAUUGGAGGAAUUAAUAU
This is a long non-coding RNA of Phasianus colchicus (ring-necked pheasant), 589 nucleotides long. RefSeq lists it as uncharacterized. Lineage: Eukaryota; Metazoa; Chordata; Aves; Galliformes; Phasianidae. The record is from RefSeq and is a predicted model, not a curated record.